GACUAACGCUGGCGGCGUGCCUAAUACAUGCAAGUCGAACGGGAUUCUUUGAUCAGCUUGCUGAGAGAAGGAUCUAGUGGCGGACGGGUGAGUAACGCGUGGGAAUCUGCCUCUUACUGGGGGAUAACAGUGGGAAACUACUGCUAAUACCGCAUAAGAUCUUCGGAUGAAAGGUGCAACUGCACCGGUAAGAGAUGAGCCCGCGUCCCAUUAGCUAGUUGGUGAGGUAAAGGCUCACCAAGGCGACGAUGGGUAGCCGGCCUGAGAGGGUGAACGGCCACACUGGGACUGAGACACGGCCCAGACUCCUACGGGAGGCAGCAGUAGGGAAUCUUCCGCAAUGGGCGCAAGCCUGACGGAGCAACGCCGCGUGGGUGAAGAAGGCCUCGGUUGUAAGCCUGUCUUAUGGAGAAGUCAGUGACGGUACCAUAGGAGGAAGCCACGGCUAACUACGUGCCAGCAGCCGCGGUAAGCUACGUAGA
Molecule: ribosomal RNA, 482 nt
Filed under: uncultured bacterium
Lineage: Bacteria
Description: bacterial SSU rRNA
Rfam family: Bacterial small subunit ribosomal RNA
Source: RNAcentral